This 70-nucleotide transfer RNA is filed under the name uncultured Eubacterium sp. It matches the Rfam family "tRNA". From Rfam's summary of the family: Transfer RNA (tRNA) molecules are approximately 80 nucleotides in length. Their secondary structure includes four short double-helical elements and three loops (D, anti-codon, and T loops). Lineage: Bacteria; Bacillati; Bacillota; Clostridia; Eubacteriales; Eubacteriaceae. The record is from RNAcentral.
GCCUGUAGCUCAGUUGGGAGAGCGUUGCAUUCGCAUUGCAGAGGUCGAGGGUUCGACUCCCUUCAGGUCC